UACGAAGGGGGCUAGCGUUGCUCGGAAUUACUGGGCGUAAAGGGCGCGUAGGCGGCACUGUUAGUCAGGCGUGAAAGUCCUGGGCUCAACCUGGGAACUGCGCUUGAUACGGCAGAGCUAGAGGAUGGAAGAGGGUCGCGGAAUUCCCAGUGUAGAGGUGAAAUUCGUAGAUAUUGGGAAGAACACCGGUGGCGAAGGCGGCGACCUGGUCCGAUACUGACGCUGAGGCGCGAAAGCGUGGGGAGCAAACAGG
This 253-nucleotide ribosomal RNA is filed under the name uncultured bacterium. Its description in RNAcentral is "partial 16S ribosomal RNA". It matches the Rfam family "Bacterial small subunit ribosomal RNA", at positions 524 to 776 of the family's 1533-position model. The record is from RNAcentral.